AUGAGUUCAAGAUCUGACCUCACAAUCAUGCGUGUCUGCUUCAUAAUCUUCUUGCUUGGAGUUCUUGUUGAGCUAUGUGAUGGAGGGAUUACCAGUGAAUAUGUCAGAGGAAGUGAUUUACCAGACGACAUGCCAUUAGACAGCGAUGUCUUUAAAGUUCCUCCCGGUCCUAACACUCCCCAACAGGUUCACAUAACGCAAGGUAACCAUGAAGGCAAUGGAGUGAUUAUUUCAUGGGUGACUCCUUCUGCGCCCUGUUCUAACACAGUUCGCUAUUGGUCUGAGAAUGGAAAAUCGAAGAAGCUAGCAGAAGCAACCAUGAACACCUACCGUUUCUUCAAUUAUACAUCUGGUUACAUCCACCACUGCCUCAUUGAUGAUUUGGAAUUUGAUAUGAAAUACUACUAUGAAAUUGGGAGUGGUAAAUGGCGAAGGCGAUUCUGGUUCUUUACUCCGCCUAAACCUGGUCCUGACGUACCUUACACCUUUGGCUUAAUAGGGGAUCUAGGACAAACAUAUGAUUCAAAUCGAACGUUAAGUCAUUAUGAGAUGAAUCCGGGAAAAGGACAGGCGGUUUUGUUCCUAGGAGACUUGUCUUAUGCGGAUCGUUACCCUUUGCACGACAACAACAGAUGGGAUACUUGGGGAAGAUUCGUUGAGAGAAGUGUUGCUUAUCAACCUUGGAUAUGGACUGCAGGAAACCACGAAAUCGACUAUGUUCCUGAAAUUGGUGAAACAGAACCAUUCAAGCCUUUUACGAAUCGGUAUCAUACGCCGUACAAGGCAUCGGGAAGUAUAUCUCCAUUGUGGUAUUCCAUCAAGAGGGCUUCAGCUUAUAUUAUUGUUAUGUCUUGUUACUCAUCUUAUGGGGUAUACACUCCUCAGUACAAAUGGCUACAACAGGAGUUCCAAAGAGUAAAUCGAACAGAGACUCCAUGGCUUAUAGUCUUAGUACAUUGCCCCUUUUACCAUAGCUAUGUGCAUCAUUACAUGGAAGGUGAGACAAUGAGGGUCUUGUACGAGCAGUGGUUCGUCAAGUCCAAGGUUGAUGUGGUGUUUGCAGGCCAUGUUCAUGCCUAUGAGAGAUCGAAACGUGUUUCUAACAUUGCCUACAACCUUGUCAAUGGGUUGUGUGAGCCAAUAUCGGAUGAGUCGGCUCCUGUGUACAUAACCAUCGGGGACGGAGGAAACUCAGAAGGCUUGCUUACUGACAUGAUGCAGCCACAGCCGAGCUACUCUGCCUUCCGAGAACCUAGCUUUGGGCACGGGUUGCUGGAUAUCAAAAACAGAACUCAUGCCUACUUCAACUGGAAUCGGAACCAAGAUGGGUCUUCCGUGGAAGCAGAUUCUGUGUGGUUGCUUAAUCGGUUUUGGCGAGCUCCAAAGAAGACGAUGGUUGUUGCCUCAUGAACACAAAGUGAUCUAUGCUAAACGAUGGAACACAGUGUGAGAGUUAUCAAGUUCUUUGACUUCUUCUUUUCUCAAACUUGUCCUUUUAUAAACACAUUACUACGAAAGUAAGAAGAUUAUUAUAUCUGCAAUAUUAUAAACACAUUACUAAGAAGGUAAGAAGAUUAUAUCUGCAAUCUUGCAAGUGUUAUAAAAUAAAAUAAAGAUAGUAAGUGUUAUGAAAA
RNA transcript from Brassica rapa (field mustard), 1634 nucleotides. It is a transcript of the gene named fe(3+)-Zn(2+) purple acid phosphatase 12, with no coding region annotated. NCBI's taxonomy places the organism in Eukaryota, Viridiplantae, Streptophyta, Magnoliopsida, Brassicales, Brassicaceae. The record is from RefSeq and is a predicted model, not a curated record.